Molecule: transfer RNA, 74 nt
Filed under: Holospora undulata HU1
Lineage: Bacteria; Pseudomonadati; Pseudomonadota; Alphaproteobacteria; Holosporales; Holosporaceae
Rfam family: tRNA
About the family: Transfer RNA (tRNA) molecules are approximately 80 nucleotides in length.
Source: Rfam by way of RNAcentral
GGGGGUGUAGCUCAGCUGGUCAGAGCGCGUGCUUUGCAAGCAUGAGGCCAUCGGUUCGACUCCGAUCAUCUCCA